RNAcentral lists this long non-coding RNA (529 nucleotides) under Homo sapiens (human). Its description in RNAcentral is "novel transcript". The record is from RNAcentral. Lineage: Eukaryota; Metazoa; Chordata; Mammalia; Primates; Hominidae.
ACCAUCGAGAUGGUGACCCCAGUCCGGCAAGUUGCGUCAGCCUCCAUCAAGUUGGAGAACCCUCUGCCCUACUCGGUGACCUUCUCCACAGAAUGCCAGAUGCCCGACAUCGCCCUGCCCUCCCAGUUUGUGGUGCCUGCCAACUCCGAGCCCACCUGACGAGUUCCCCUCACUCCAGCUCCAGCUGACUUCCUUCUUCAGGCUGGUCAUUUGUGUUGGUUUCAAUGUCUAGUUAUCCUGAAAAAUGUGGCCAUGGAUCUCCUGGUACAUGUAUCCUCCCAAUGCGCAUAGGCAUACGUUGUUCCACAGCAUAUGCCUAGGAGUAGAACCACAGGUCAUAGAGUGUGCAUAGCUUUCACUUUAGUAGGUAAUUGCCAAUUAGUGAUGAGAGUUCCUAAUGUUCAACGUCUUCACCAACCCUUGGUAUUGUCGGUUUUUUUAAGGUUACUAAUCUGAUAAACUGCUAACUCCUCGUGGACUUAAUUUCCCUUUUUACAAACAGAUUGAUUUCAGUUGGGUAAUAUUAUAU